UUACAAUUUACAGGUUCGAAAUUGUUCGAAUUCUUUAGUUUUGUGAUCACGUAAAAAGUUAAUUUUACAUGUUUUUAUUCGCAAUUUAUUUACUAAAUCGAGAACAAAUAUCAAACAAAAUAGAGAAAAUAUAUAGUUGUUUCAUUGGUCCAUAAAAAUAAAAUGGAUGUAAAAUUACUAAUUUAAAAUUAACGUUCUGAUACACUUAUUGAAUCUGUUUCCCCAGGAUAUGCUGUUCUAUUAAUAUUUACCUUUAUCAACACGAACGACAACUCUGCUAGGAGAAUGUUAUCAAUGAAAAUCAGUGAGCAAUCUCCUACGCAGUGGCGAAUGCCAAGGGAAGUAACUGAAAAAUCGAGUUAUCUCAAUCGGACUGGCUCGGUCUUUUACAUAGGUCGCCAUUGUGAAGAUUUUUUUUACUGGUUAUCAUUCCUUAGACGAUGCUGUUCCAGCAUCGUCAAAAAUUGGAGGACUGAUGCAGCUGUUAUUGCGCGCAUAAUACGGAAUUGAGAUAUGGCGAACGGCAAUAGAAGGCUUGAUUUGCAACCGUUUCGGGUGGACUGCAGCGACCACAUAGCAACGGGCUAGGCAUGGUGUGAAUGGCUUGAGGACUUUGAAAGGCAAGUCAGAUACUUCAAAAUCACUGAAGAUGAUGAUAAAACGGACGCUUUACUUAUCUACGGCGGACCAGAGAUUAAACAAUCACGAGUCAGUGAGAAGCAGGGAGGCAAACAGACUGGUGUACAAGCCCAAACCACAUUUGGGCUUGAAAAGAUCCACUCUACACUGAUUUAGUAACUGUGUUUUUAAUUCUGAUUAUUUUAUUAUGAACGCUUAUGAUUGUUUAAUCAUUGAAUACGAAAUCUUUGAAAUAAA
Dreissena polymorpha is the source of this 876-nucleotide long non-coding RNA. RefSeq lists it as uncharacterized. The transcript is spliced from 3 exons. Lineage: Eukaryota; Metazoa; Mollusca; Bivalvia; Myida; Dreissenidae. The record is from RefSeq and is a predicted model, not a curated record.